CCUUUCGGGGUGCGUUUUCGGGCGACGAGUGGCGGACGGGUGAGUAACGCGUGGGAAUCUGCCCGGCGGCGGGGGACAGCCCGGGGAAACCCGGAUUAAUACCGCAUACGUCCUAUGGGAGAAAGGCGGGGAUCUUUUCGGAGACCUGUCGCCGCCGGAUGAGCCCGCGUUGGAUUAGGUUGUUGGGGGGGUAAUGGCCCACCAAGCCGACGAUCCAUAGCUGGUCUGAGAGGACGACCAGUCACACCGGAACUGAGACACGGUCCGGACUCCUACGGGAGGCAGCAGUGGGGAAUAUUGCGCAAUGGGGGCAACCCUGACGCAGCAAUGCCGCGUGUGUGAAGAAGGCCUUCGGGUUGUAAAGCACUUUCAAUUGGGAAGAAAAGCAUCCGGUUAAUACCCGGGUGUCUUGACGGUACCAUUACAAGAAGCACCGGCUAACUCCGUGCCAGCAGCCGCGGUAAUACGGAGGGUGCAAGCGUUAAUCGGAACCACUGGGCGUAAAGCGCACGCAGGCGGAUGUUUAAGUCAAAUGUGAAAGCCCCGGGCUCAACCUGGGAAUUGCAUUUGAUACUGGACAUCUUGAGUAUGGCAGAGAGAAGUGGAAUUCCGCAUGUAGCGGUGAAAUGCGUAGAGAUGCGGAGGAACAUCAGUGGCGAAGGCGACUUCUUGGGCCAAUACUGACGCUCAGGUGCGAAAGCGUGGGGAGCGAACAGGAUUAGAUACCCUGGUAGUCCACGCCGUAAACGAUGUCUACCAGCCGUUGCCGGGCUCAGACCCGGCAGUGGCCGAAGCUAACGCGUUUAAGUAGAACCGCCUGGGGGAGUACGG
RNAcentral lists this ribosomal RNA (831 nucleotides) under uncultured bacterium. RNAcentral describes it as "bacterial SSU rRNA". It matches the Rfam family "Bacterial small subunit ribosomal RNA", at positions 62 to 885 of the family's 1533-position model. The record is from RNAcentral.